AACGAACGCUGGCGGCAUGCCUAAUACAUGCAAGUCGAACGAGAUCUUCGGAUCUAGUGGCGCACGGGUGCGUAACGCGUGGGAAUCUGCCCUUGGGUUCGGAAUAACUUCUGGAAACGGAAGCUAAUACCGGAUGAUGACGUAAGUCCAAAGAUUUAUCGCCCAAGGAUGAGCCCGCGUAGGAUUAGGUAGUUGGUGAGGUAAAGGCUCACCAAGCCGACGAUCCUUAGCUGGUCUGAGAGGAUGAUCAGCCACACUGGGACUGAGACACGGCCCAGACUCCUACGGGAGGGAGGAAUAGGGAAUAUUGGAAAAUGGGCGAAAGGCUGAACCAGCAAUGGCGCGUGAGUGAAGAAGGGCUUAGGGUUGUAAAGCUCUUUUACCCGGGAUGAUAAUGACAGUACCGGGAGAAUAAGCUCCGGCUAACUCCGUG
RNAcentral lists this ribosomal RNA (433 nucleotides) under uncultured bacterium. RNAcentral's name for it is "partial 16S ribosomal RNA". It matches the Rfam family "Bacterial small subunit ribosomal RNA", at positions 29 to 507 of the family's 1533-position model. The record is from RNAcentral.